GACGAACGCUGGCGGCGUGCUUAACACAUGCAAGUCGAACGGAAAGGCCCUGCUUUUGUGGGGUGCUCGAGUGGCGAACGGGUGAGUAACACGUGAGUAACCUGCCCUUGACUUUGGGAUAACUUCAGGAAACUGGGGCUAAUACCGGAUAGGAGCUCCUGCUGCAUGGUGGGGGUUGGAAAGUUUCGGCGGUUGGGGAUGGACUCGCGGCUUAUCAGCUUGUUGGUGGGGUAGUUGCUUACCAAGGCUUUGACGGGUAGCCGGCCUGAGAGGGUGACCGGCCACAUUGGGACUGAGAUACGGACCAGACUCCUACGGGAGGCAGCAGUGGGGAAUAUUGCACAAUGGGCGGAAGCCUGAUGCAGAAACGCCGCGUGCGGGAUGACGGCCUUCGGGUUGUAAACCGCUUUCGCCUGUGACGAAGCGUGAGUGACGGUAAUGGGUAAAGAAGCACCGGCUAACUACGUG
Molecule: ribosomal RNA, 468 nt
Filed under: uncultured bacterium
Lineage: Bacteria
Description: partial 16S ribosomal RNA
Rfam family: Bacterial small subunit ribosomal RNA
Source: RNAcentral